CGACACAUUACGUUCUGGAAUUAAUAUUACAAUUAUCCCAGGUUGACUGUAUAUGGAUGGUCUUAUUAUGUUUACCAACGUUGAAUAUAGUGUACACGUGUAUAAAAGUACACAGAUCAUCUAGCUAGGGUAGGAGAUGGUUUAGUGAAAUAAUCUAGGGUUAAGUUGUUUCUUAGACGACUAGAGAACAUAAUUGACCGGAUCACUCAAAAGCUAUUUUGUUAAAACAAAUCCAAUUGAGUUAUCUUCAAAUUUUGAGUUGUAUUAUUAAACCCUAAAUCUUAAAGGACAAUCCUUAAAAUUUCAUCAUAUCAGCUACCCAGGGCACUUUUUGGUCUUCACAUUCUGAUAGAGGUUUCAAAUUAUGGCUUAUUUGGGAUUUAAAAUGAGUGAGUUUUAAUGAAUAGUUUUGGUACUGUUCAUUUUAACGAAAAAUUACAUUUGUACACUAAAAAAUUAAUCAUAAUACUAUUUAUUUUACCUUUAUUUUGUCCUUAUCAUUAAAUCUUAAAAUUUUCAAACCAUUUUUAUUAAUUUUUUUAAAAAAUUAAUGAACUUUUCUUUUGGCUCUGACAUAUACUAAUCAAAACCUUUAUGCUGCUUUCAGCUUUUUUUUGGCCAAAGAUGGUGGUUACUAAAGGAAACAAAACUUUCUCGGCAACCAAAAUUUUACAUGUACAUGCGAAUACUGUUUAUCCUUUGGAUUAUAUCUUUAGGGAUUUUGGUGUGCCCUUUGCAGGUCCCAUUGACACUUGACAGCUUACAUACUCUUCUUAUAUUUUUCAAACAAAAAUAUCCUGUUACGCGCUUUACAGAGAUCCACUGAGACAAUCAUUCUACA
RNAcentral lists this long non-coding RNA (841 nucleotides) under Malus domestica (apple). RNAcentral's name for it is "long non-coding RNA (MDOM_LNC009692)". The record is from RNAcentral. Lineage: Eukaryota; Viridiplantae; Streptophyta; Magnoliopsida; Rosales; Rosaceae.